GCACUCGUAGCUCAGCUGGAUAGAGCACCGGACUUCGAAUCCGGGUGUCGGGGGUUCGAAUCCCUCCGGGUGUACCA
RNAcentral lists this transfer RNA (77 nucleotides) under Desulfocapsa sulfexigens. Its description in RNAcentral is "tRNA-Arg". It matches the Rfam family "tRNA". Rfam says of the family: Transfer RNA (tRNA) molecules are approximately 80 nucleotides in length. Their secondary structure includes four short double-helical elements and three loops (D, anti-codon, and T loops). RNAcentral also lists the same sequence under 4 other names. Lineage: Bacteria; Pseudomonadati; Thermodesulfobacteriota; Desulfobulbia; Desulfobulbales; Desulfocapsaceae. The record is from RNAcentral.